GUUCCCAAUGCCGUGUUUUUAAGCUUCUUGAGAGCACAGAAAACACUACAACUUUCAAGACAAAAACACUACAUUUAUUUAAAAAACUUUCAAUCUUUCACCUCUCGUCUGUGGAUUCAUAAAAGAUGUUUCAUAAAGUUUAGAAAAAUCAUUUAUCUCUGGUUUCUUUUUCUGGUUCUACGUUUUUUUUUCUAUGGUUGCAGGAAUUUUGGUGACUUGAUGCUUUUGUUGCCUCAAAUAGCUAUAAUUUUGUGGGAUAAAGUUAGAGUAAGAAUUUUUUUUUAAAUAUGGAGAGUACUGUGAUAUUUUGCAGUAUUUAUCUUGUUGUGAAUUGAAGUCAAAACAAGUUAAAAAACUUAGCUGAUCUGUGUGAAAACAAGAAGCUCCGAUGUUGUGUUUGUCUUGUGUAACCAUGAAGUUUUCCACCGUAAAUUACAACAAAACUUUUAGGAUUUUUUGUCGUUUCUGUGAAAUGAAGUUUGGUUUUCUGAUAGACCUGGAAAACUUAAAGCUACGUUCACACCGCCCUCAGCAACACGAGUUUAUAUGUGGGUCUACCAUAUGAGCAUUUCAUUCUUCUGCGUUCAUAACCUUUGCGUUCACGCGUCACUACACAAGUUUCUGAGUCUUUUUGAGCCCUAUAAACGCAUCGACAUUGAACACACGUUACAAGUUAGGAGGAUGCAGGAGAUCUGGUGCAGACUUGGAUUGGACAAAUCAUUAAAAACUUUUUGAAUUGAUGAAAACAAACAUUCUGGCAUUCUUUAACGCAUAUUUUAAUGCACAAAAGAUCUAAACUAAAACUUUAAAGAGUGAACUUUUAAAGAAACUGCAGAAUUUUCCAAUUACAACAAACAAAGACCAGCAUCCUCUUCAUUAACGAGCAGACUGGAGUAAUUAAACCCUGCUUGCGAUUGGCUCCGCCCUGGCAGAGAGGGAUGGCUCCUCAUUACUUCCUGCGUUCUAAUUGGUCUCUGCAGGCAGCAGGUGCCAGGUACUUAAUGAGGCCUGUUGUGGUUGAUGUACGACCGCCGUGACGUCCAUCCAGCUGCACUGCAGAUGAUGAUGAUGCCUGUGAGGCUAAUAAUGCAUGAAAUAGGAGCCACUGUGAGGACCAGAGAUGGAUGUUUCAGAUCAACUUAUCUUGGUGAAAGGUGAACCAAAGAUCACGCUGCAGCUCCAGCUGUGUGCAGAGUUCCUGUCUGACAGAGCUGCACUAAUGUCAUGAAUGAUCAUCUGAAGAAGAAAUUGUGAAGAAGAGAUGGCUGUAGUUUGACAGUCUCAAAUGGAGAUAAUAAACCAACAGAAAUGUG
Oryzias melastigma (Indian medaka) is the source of this 1313-nucleotide long non-coding RNA. RefSeq lists it as uncharacterized. NCBI's taxonomy places the organism in Eukaryota, Metazoa, Chordata, Actinopteri, Beloniformes, Adrianichthyidae. The transcript has 2 exons. The record is from RefSeq and is a predicted model, not a curated record.